This is a long non-coding RNA of Gallus gallus (chicken), 1699 nucleotides long. The record is from Ensembl. Lineage: Eukaryota; Metazoa; Chordata; Aves; Galliformes; Phasianidae.
GAGGAGGAGGUAAGACAGGCUUCAGCAGCCAUGAGGCCACUUCAGUGUGCUAGCCAGCUAACUGGUUCUGCCUCGAGAUCUUCCACAGGAAAACUCGGUCUGUAGUGUGCCCAGCACACCUGUAGGCUCCAGCAGGACUUUCAGCUGGUUGUGGAUUGCUGUACCCAGUGGCAGGGGUGUAAUGAAAAAAGCUUGCAGUUCUGUACUGUCCGUUCUAUCGCUGAAACUGUGCUGGAGGCAGCAGUAAUUACUACAUACAGAAAUUAAGUGUGAUUGUGCCUUCUGAGUAGACGUGGCUGAGAAUUGCAUCAAAACUGUAUUUAUUAAGCUCUGAGUUGCUCAGUAGUUAAUACUCUCUUUUGUUUGUUUUCUUGCAUCCUCAAGUCGAGGAAGCUCUUGCCUGUGCUGUUAGCACAGGUCUUACAGUAGAAUGGCUGCAUCUUUAUGGUUUCCUUAUCUCAAUCACGUUUCAGUAGGUUGUUCUCUCACUUCCAGAGCACCAUUAAUGCUGUGUGGAAAUGAGAGUCGCCAGGUCUUUACUGUCUCCCUUGUACAUUCAGGUGCUUGGCCAAGAGAGCCGUGUUCUGUGUGCCCGUGGGACCUUCGGCUGGUAUUCCUAGAGAUGGUCCUUAGAUACCAGGACAGUCACUCUUCAUCAGAGAAUACUGAAAAAUGAACACUUGCAACAGGGUUGUCUCCUUUCUUAGGCAUGGCUUUGUCAUCUGCAGCUGUUUGGAGGAGGAGGAAGCGGCCUCUGCCAUUCUUCUUUGCUGUUCCAACUCGCAGAGCCAUGCAAAACAACAGAAUGGAGGCAGGAAGCCUCAUGUUCUGGCCAGCGAUGGCUGAGCUUUUGAAGGAGAAAAAGCCCAGAUUGGGAACUCAGCAGCGCGUGGCUGCUGUGAGCACAACAGCAAAGGAGCACCAGGAGCGGCCCCUUCAGCGCCCGGACACGGAUCCCAUUCUGCAGUUGGCAGGGAGGCACAGGAGCAGCAUGCAGCAUUCUGCUCUUGUUACAGGUGGUUCUGCACCAUGGCUUACUCCUUGUAUCGAAAAACUUUCCCACCUUAAUUCCAUUGGCUUCCUAUCCCAGGAGAGCUGAUGCUGGCUCACCGGCAGCGGCACAGCCACACCAAAUUGCGCAGUGUAGAGUGAGAGAAGGGCUCCUGCUCUCUUUGCUGCAGGCAGAGGAGCUUUCUGGUGGAUGAUUGAUGGCCUUUACCCCGCGGUCGUGGUCCCGCUGCCCUCCCCCCCUCCCGCUGUGGCGGUGUCACUUCGCUCUGCUCUGCUGCGCUGUCUCCUUUUCUCCCCUCGGCCGUCGGUCCCACCCGCACCGCUCGGUGCAAACCUCGCCCCGCACAAAGGCUCACCCUGCCCGGCAGCCAACCUUCUCCGUGGCCGCGAGAAGCCUUUCUUUGUUUCGGUUUGUGUUUAAAGCUGGCCAGCUUCUGUUCUGUGGGGACACAGCGAGGCGCAGCCCUUUCCCCACGGCUGCCAUUCCUGCUCGGAAACCGCAGAUCUGUGCUGAUGCUCUUAGAAAUGUUCAGUACUGUAUAACAAGGGGCACUUUAGAAAUGUCUCUCCUCCUUUGAAAUAUGUGUUUUCCCUAUGGAGAAAGCUAUAUAUAAAUAAAUAUAUGUGUACACUUGGGGAUUCAGAAGAUCUAAUUUGUCCCAAAAACAAAUCAAUAAAUACGAAGUUU